GCUAAAAAGAAAGCACAGGCUAAAGGUCAGUUGUCACGGCAUUUGUGAUCCUAAUUUGGCUGAAUCUAGAACUGGAAAUAUUUCCAAGUUAACAUGAUCACUGGGGCACUAUGAUUUGAGACAGAUGACAAAUGAUCGAGUUCUAAUCCUGGAUCACUUAUUUACUAACAUUGUGACUUUAGGUUCAGCCACUUUUUGUGCUUCCAAGUGUCACUUCUCUCGUCUGCAAAAUGGACAUGGUAUUCUUGUCCUGCCUAUAUCAUAGGACCAUUAAUAAAGGUGAAGAAUUGUAUUGUGACUAGAGAAAGCCUGCUUACUGUUUAAGUGUCCAUGGAAACCAAGAAAGCUGUUCUUAAAUAUAAUAUUCCUUUGCUUAUUCAAAUCUUUUUUCCAUAGGUGCUUCAAAAUAAAUUUUUUCUGCAAUGAUUAUAUUUUGAAUUGGCGAGGCCCAAAAGGGGAAGGAGUGGAGAAGACCUAGAAGUAACAGUGCUCAACUUCUGGACAAGGGUGAUAUGGAGGUCAGGAAAAAAGAUGAUCUAGUCUGUCUCUACUCAUCAAAGCACGGAGUUCUGCAGUGAAGAGCUGUGGCCUUGAGCCUGCCAGAGAACUUUCAGUUCGAUACACCACAAGAUUUAUCCUUCACCAGCUCAGAAGGGACGCAAGAAUGAGCCAUUUCCAAAUGUGGAAAGAGCACUUUUCCUUUCUUAUUCUUUGGAGACCAUAUUUGUUAUAUAAACAGCCUCACUGAAAACUCCCUGUAAAAUUAUUCUGCGUUCCUUUUAAGAGAAAUUUUACCUCUACCAAUCAACACACAGUUGCCUCAUAGGUAACCCUGGCCAUUGGAAAACUCCAGGGUAAAAUGAACCAUAAAUUAAGUUGGAGCCUGGCAGAGCACGAUAUUAAUUUGCCUGAUUCAUAAAUAACUCUGUAGAAACUAAAAGGGAUUUUGACUUUAGUUUUCCUUUUUCCCUACUAGUUAACACUCCUGAGGAGAUUUAUAAAAUACAUUUCUCUUGUGCCCUCUUUAGGGCCAGUCCAAGGUGCAUAUAACUUUAGGUGCUGGUGAUUAUUUAUUUUUUUUUACGAAAAGUCACAUCUCAAUUCCUUCAAAAUAAACUUUUGGGCAAAUUUACAUUAUACAGCUUUUCAGAAAUAAAACUAUUACGUAAUAAAAGGCACACAUGCACUGAUUUUUCUCUGAGAUAUGCAAAGGGCUUUUGUAAAGUAGCCACUAACUACUAGGUUAGGCCCAAAACUCAAAAGUUUAGUCAGCCAAGCAGUUAAUAUGAAAAGCAAAUCAAUGCAAGUUUUUUGUUUCAUUGAAAGAGAUAGUGGGAUCACAAACAGUUUCCAUUCUAAACGGUCUAUCCUUUAUGGGAAGAAAAAUUAAGUUUACCAAAUAAAAACAAAUUAUGCAUCAAAGUUAAUUUUUUCAAAACUAAUUUAAAGGGCUAGGUCUUUGAUAUAUUCUGUGGCACUGGAAUGAAAAAUAGCUUUUGAUGUCUUGAUGUCUUUUUUUUUAAAUAUAAGGAGGAGUUGUGGUAAAAGGUCAACUAGAGCAAACUUAACACCUCAGCCUUAUACACAUAAGCAACACUUGGCUGAGAAAAAAAGCCACAAGGGGAAAAGAAUACAGUACGGAAGAAAAAACACAUCAGCAACACCUUUAUGUGUGAAGUUGACCAGUAUGAGAAUGAAGCCAAAGCAGAGAAUAGGUAGGCUGUGAACAUACUAUAUAUACUUUGGCUUAUCAAAAUCAUCUGAUGAGAUUUCGAUAAGAAACGAUAGCCAGUUGCUCUUCAAGCUGUUUGGCUGGAAUCAGUGGUUUCCAGCAAACAUUAACUUGCCUUUCUUGACUGUAGUUGGGGUUUUCAGUUUUCUUAGUAGUUCAGCUUGUACUUGAGUCACCAAAUGUAAAUUAGACAUCUCUCUCUUCAGUUCCCAGUAUGCAUUUUGCAUAUUGUCGCUGAAAUGCAAGUUUAAAAAAAAAGUUAAUGGUUAUUUUCCUUACGGACAGAAAGGAGUGACUUGAAAAUAGAAAUGAGCAUUCCUGCUCUAGUUUUGAUAUAAAUUAAACAAAACUUCCUCAUUAAAUAAUUGACAUACAAUUAGGGCAUUAGAACAAGUGAAAAGAUCUUAUUCAAUAAUAAUAUUGACCUAGUUUCUAGCCAUUAACUGAACUGUAUUAAACAAAAGGGUAUUUACCAAAAAAGAAGUAUUAUCACCAAGUUUCUUAUAGUUCUCAGAAUUGAGGUUUUUAUUAUAGCCCAUAAUGUGCAGUGGUGUUACUAUCAUACUUUUAGAAUAAGGAGUAUUUUCUUCAUUUGCAAAUCUGAUACAGAAAAAUAGUGACAUUUAUUCAUGUAUAGAGUUUUAAUUUGUAUUUAUCUCUUGAUUAUUCGGUUUUGACGUUGUGAAUUGAAAUGUGUAUCCCCAAACCCACAUUAAAAUAAAAUUUAGGUUUCAUGCA
This is a long non-coding RNA of Leopardus geoffroyi (Geoffroy's cat), 2470 nucleotides long. RefSeq lists it as uncharacterized. The record is from RefSeq and is a predicted model, not a curated record. The transcript has 2 exons. Lineage: Eukaryota; Metazoa; Chordata; Mammalia; Carnivora; Felidae.